This 414-nucleotide ribosomal RNA is filed under the name uncultured soil bacterium. Its description in RNAcentral is "bacterial SSU rRNA". It matches the Rfam family "Bacterial small subunit ribosomal RNA", at positions 26 to 433 of the family's 1533-position model. The record is from RNAcentral.
AGGACGAACGCUGGCGGCGUGCUUAACACAUGCAAGUCGAGCGGAAAGGCCUUUCGGGGUACUCGAGCGGCGAACGGGUGAGUAACACGUGAGUAAUCUGCCCAUCGCUUCAGGAUAGCCAUCGGAAACGGUGAUUAAUACUGGAUAUGACAUUCCUUCGCAUGUUGGGGUGUGGUAAAGUUUUUUCGGCGGUGGAUGUGCUCGCGGCCUAUCAGCUUGUUGGUGGGUAAUGGCCUACCAAGGCUUUGACGGGUAGCCGGCCUGAGAGGGUCGACCGGCCACGACUGGGACUGAGACACGGCCCAGACCUCCGUACGGGAGGCAGCGAGGUGGGGAAUAUGGACAAGUGGGCGAAGCCUGAUCCAGCAACGCCGCGUGGAGGAGUGACGGUCCGUUCGGGUUCGUUAAACCGUC